Pseudopipra pipra is the source of this 381-nucleotide long non-coding RNA. RefSeq lists it as uncharacterized. The record is from RefSeq and is a predicted model, not a curated record. Lineage: Eukaryota; Metazoa; Chordata; Aves; Passeriformes; Pipridae. The transcript has 2 exons.
AGUCCCUCAGUUUGCAAUUUUUAUUUUUCUUUGGGUCUUGUGAGAUCCCACGUGGAAGCCGUUAACGACCUCUCGAUAAUGAUCACGACAAAGGCAUUAUUCAAAUGAGCCAGUGCUUCCUGCUCCUGGCUGGCUCACGGCCGUCCAUCCAUCUCUCUAGCCCAAGCCCGAGCUCAGCGGUGUACAAAGGACAGGAGGAAGCCGCGAAUUCGUUUCCAGAUCAAACUCCCCGUCCAUAAACUCGCAUUGUGACCGUGGACAUCGAGCUAGGCACCAGACCCACCGUCCUGGAGGGUCUGAGGCUCAUUCAUGAAACUGGGAGCUCUCUGAGUUUUCAUAAAAGUUUUUUGGGUUGGUUUUUUUUUUUUUUUUUUUAUUUUU